RNAcentral lists this long non-coding RNA (2268 nucleotides) under Gallus gallus (chicken). Its description in RNAcentral is "lncRNA (ENSGALG00010014920.1)". Lineage: Eukaryota; Metazoa; Chordata; Aves; Galliformes; Phasianidae. The record is from RNAcentral.
GCACCUCAGUACACUGCACUAUAGCAUACCAUCGAUGGGAAUAUUGCAGCAAAAUGAGCUUGGGGAGAAAAAAAAGAGUCUGGCUAGGAUCUAGCAAUGCAUGGAGUGAGGUGGAAAGUAUUUCCUAGGGAGGAAGGGGUGGUUUAAUCUAGUUCAGAAAGCUACUGAGUUCACAGGGAGUAGUAGUUCAUACAGUCUUUAUGCUUCAGUUUCACCUAAUGGUCUUACUUCUGUAGAAAAAAAAAAAAAGAUAUAUACAGUUGUAAAUGUACUGUUGUAAAUGCAUAGUUUUACUUGCCUCUGCUCCUGAGACAACCUGUCUCUAGGAUCCAAACGUACCCUGAAACACGUGGCCAGAUGGAAGUGAUGUGCUCACUCCUAGUGGAAUGUGGGAUACCAUGGCAGAUUUAUAAACGUACGUAAGGGAAUUGGGAAUGAAAGAGGCAAUUUAUGGGGAAGACUUUAUAAGGAAGCCCCGACCUAGUUAAAUUUAGACGUCAGAUGAGAGAUCUUACCCUGCAGCAAGCCCCCUCUCAUCAGUAUGGCACUCUAGUAGCUAUUUGGAACCCUCUGGUAGCUGGAGAUGCAGUUGUCCAAUAAGCAGCACAAGUAGUAGCUGACCUAGGCUAGCCUGUGGCAGGGGAGUUGGAACUUGAUGAUCCUUGAGGUCCCUUCCAAACCAAGCCACGCUAUGAUAAAAGAAGGAAAAUGCAGUACAGUUCUAUAAAGAAGAAGCCAUUGCAAAUUUAAUGGAAAGAGCCAGGUGGUGUACUUAUUACAAGGAGAGCCAGGCAGUGUGGUGUAUUCCAAAGAGAGCCAGUCGGUCUGGUGUACUCCAAACAGAGCCAAGCGGCAUAGUAUAGUCCAAGGAGAGCCAGCCUGCGUGGUAUACUCCAAGGAGAGCCAUCCUGUGUGGUGUAUUCCAAAGAGAGCCACGCUGCAUGGUAUGUUGCAAAGAGAGCCAGCCUGCACGGUAUGCUGCAAAGAGAGCCAGGUGGCGUGAUAUAUUCCAAAAAGAGCCAGGCGGUGUGGUGUAUUCCAAAAGGAGGCAAGCGCCGUGGUAUUUCCCAUGAACAAGGCAGGUGGUGCUGUAUGUUCCACGAGCGAAGCAGGCGGCAUAGCCUAUUCCAUAGGAGAGGCAGGUGGCGUAGCCUAUUCCAUAGCAGAGCCAGGUAGCGUAGUCUAUUCCACAGCAGAGGCAAGCAGCGUAGUAUAUUCCAUAGAAGGGGCAGGUGGAAUAGUAUGUUCCAUAACAGAGGCAGGUCGCAUAGUAUAUUCCAGAAGGAGGCAGGCGGCACAGUAUAUUUCAAGACGAGGAAGGCAGCGCUGUAUAAUCCAAGAAGAGGCAGGCGGCGCAGUAUAGUCCAAAAAGAGGCAGAUGGCAUCAUGUAUUCCAAGAAGGUACGGGUGGUGUAGUAUAUUCCAAAAAGAGGCAUGUGCCGUAAUACAUUCCAAAGAAGAUACAGGCGGUAUAGUAUAUUCCAAAUACAAGGCAGGCGGCACAGCGUAAUCCAAAGAAGAUGCAGGUGGCAUAGUAUGUUCCAGAGAGCCUUCAGGUGGUGUAGUUUAUUCCCAAGAAGCUGCAGGCAGCAUAGUACAUUCCAAAGAAGCUGCAGGCAGCAUGGUAUGUUCCAAAGAAGCUGCAGGCAGUGUAGUAGUUUCCAAGCAGAGGCAGGUGAUAUAGUAGAUUCCAAGAAGAGGUAGGCAGCAUAGUAGAUUCCAAAAACGAGACAGGCAGCAUAGAUUAUUCCCAGAAAGAGGCAGGCAGCAUAGUAGAUUCCAAAAGAGAGGCAGACAGCGCAGUAGAUUCCAAAAUAGAGGUGAGCAGUGUAGCAGAUGCCAAGAGCCAGGUAGCGUAGUAGUUUCCAGGAAAAGCCAGGCGGUGUACAAGAGUACAAGAAGAGGCAGGCAAUGUAGUAGAUUGCGAGAAGAGGCAGGCAGUGUAGCAGAUGCCAGGAAGAGGCAGGCAGCGCAGUAGACUGCCAGAAGAGCCAGGCGGCAGGCAGCAGCCCUGUCACAAUAGCAAGCGUUGCUUGAGCAUCUACCAUGUCACCGCUGUGUCUCUAUAUUCACAUAACGGGCAUUAGUACUGUAAUAGAGCAGUGCUCAGGGCAGCCACCCAUCAGAGAACCAAACCACAUGGAUGCCUCUUUCUAGUGCUUGUUUCCAAAACCACACAGAAAUAAAGCGAGAAGCAAAGGCCAUGAAGGUCCUUCUUAGGCCCACGUGCUGUAUCUAUUACUUAUCCACAGGUGAAAAUGAUACUCU